RNAcentral lists this transfer-messenger RNA (351 nucleotides) under Ruminococcus bromii. It matches the Rfam family "transfer-messenger RNA". Rfam says of the family: Bacterial tmRNA, also known as 10Sa RNA or SsrA, is named for its dual tRNA and mRNA-like properties. Its role is to liberate the mRNA from a stalled ribosome. Lineage: Bacteria; Bacillati; Bacillota; Clostridia; Eubacteriales; Oscillospiraceae. RNAcentral also lists the same sequence under 2 other names. The record is from RNAcentral.
GGGGAUGUAAAGGCUUCGACGGGGAUUGCAAACCUUGAUAAGCGAGCGGCGGUGCGGAACCGCCAUAAAAUCCGCAACUUUAAAAUUAACUGACAAAAAUACAGUUGAAUUAGCAGCUGCCUAAGGCGCUGCUCGUCCUGCCUGUGAGUACCACGGCACAGGUUUGGGCGUCGAUUAGUGGUAAAUGUGAACAGAGGUCUGCUCCGCCCUUUGUCACACAUCAGGAGCUGCCGAGCCGCAAAGCCUGUCGUUGGGCGCUGCGGUAAGGGAGAUUUAAAACAGCGACUACGCUCGUAGAAACUCUUGGCAAGCAGUUUUCGGACACGGGUUCGACUCCCGUCAUCUCCACCA